RNAcentral lists this ribosomal RNA (396 nucleotides) under uncultured bacterium. RNAcentral's name for it is "bacterial SSU rRNA". It matches the Rfam family "Bacterial small subunit ribosomal RNA", at positions 30 to 429 of the family's 1533-position model. The record is from RNAcentral.
AUUGAACGCUGGCGGCAUGCCUUACACAUGCAAGUCGAACGGCAGCGGACCUUCGGGUGCCGGCGAGUGGCGAACGGGUGAGUAAUAUAUCGGAACGUACCUUUCAGUGGGGGAUAACGUAGCGAAAGUUACGCUAAUACCGCAUAUUCUGUGAGCAGGAAAGCAGGGGAUCGCAAGACCUUGCGCUGAUUGAGCGGCCGAUAUCAGAUUAGCUAGUUGGUGAGGUAAAGGCUCACCAAGGCGACGAUCUGUAGCGGGUCUGAGAGGAUGAUCCGCCACACUGGAACUGAGACACGGUCCAGACUCCUACGGGAGGCAGCAGUGGGGAAUUUUGGACAAUGGGCGCAAGCCUGAUCCAGCCAUGCCGCGUGUGUGAAGAAGGCCUUCGGUUGUAAG